RNAcentral lists this ribosomal RNA (69 nucleotides) under Vibrio vulnificus. Its description in RNAcentral is "partial 16S ribosomal RNA". The stretch from base 1 to 60 matches the Rfam family "Bacterial small subunit ribosomal RNA", at positions 1474 to 1533 of the family's 1533-position model. RNAcentral also lists the same sequence under 1 other name. The record is from RNAcentral. Lineage: Bacteria; Pseudomonadati; Pseudomonadota; Gammaproteobacteria; Vibrionales; Vibrionaceae.
ACUGGGGUGAAGUCGUAACAAGGUAGCGCUAGGGGAACCUGGCGCUGGAUCACCUCCUUAUACGAUGAU